UGCCAGCAAUGGAUUCUUCACUUGAAUUGGAAAAAGAGUAUAAAGAAUUUUUUUAGUAUAUUAUUUAAAUAUAAAAAUUUUGCAAUACAAUGGACAUGAAAAUGGAGAAAGAAAAAUGAAUACAUGAUGAUCAGAUUUAAAGUAUCUUGAUCGUAAUCUUUUUGACGACAAGAUCGUUAGCAUUUUUCUAUACAUAUAGUAUGAUAUUAUCUAUAUGAAUUUUUUUAAAAGAAAAAGAAGAAGGUGCAUAACCAAAAUAUAUUA
RNAcentral lists this long non-coding RNA (264 nucleotides) under Elaeis guineensis (African oil palm). Its description in RNAcentral is "long non-coding RNA (EGUI_LNC007765)". Lineage: Eukaryota; Viridiplantae; Streptophyta; Magnoliopsida; Arecales; Arecaceae. The record is from RNAcentral.